RNAcentral lists this long non-coding RNA (752 nucleotides) under Medicago truncatula (barrel medic). Its description in RNAcentral is "long non-coding RNA (MTRU_LNC002899)". The record is from RNAcentral. Lineage: Eukaryota; Viridiplantae; Streptophyta; Magnoliopsida; Fabales; Fabaceae.
CAAAUUAUCUGUUGAGCCCAAAUCUCCGGCUGUCUCCUAGCAACGAUGCACAGUUUUCACCAUAUGUUGGUGGUAUGGCAUUUUCGCCUACUUCAUCUCCUGGUUACAGUCCAUCAUCACCAGGCUACAGUCCAUCAUCACCUGGAUACAGCCCCACUUCACCAGGGUACAGUCCCACAUCCCCUGGGUACAGCCCCACAUCACCUGGGUACAGUCCUACCUCUCCAACAUACAGCCCUAGCUCUCCAGGAUACAGUCCUACGAGCCCAGCUUAUUCACCUACAAGUCCAUCCUACUCUCCCACGUCACCCAGCUACAGUCCCACAUCACCCAGCUACAGCCCAACUUCUCCCAGCUACAGCCCUACAUCUCCCAGCUAUAGCCCCACUUCACCUGCAUACAGCCCAACAUCUCCAGCAUACAGCCCCACUUCACCUGCCUAUAGUCCCACUUCUCCAUCAUAUAGUCCAACAUCACCUUCCUACAGUCCAACUUCGCCUUCCUACAGCCCCACAUCACCCUCUUACAGCCCGACAUCUCCCUCAUAUAGCCCUACAUCACCUGCUUACAGCCCUACCUCUCCUGGGUACAGCCCCACAUCACCCUCUUACAGCCCAACAUCACCAUCAUAUAGUCCUACUUCCCCAAGUUACAAUCCGCAGUCUGCUAAGUAUAGCCCUUCAUUGGCAUAUUCUCCCAGCAGUCCGAGGUUGUCUCCAUCAAGUCCCUAUAGUCCCACGUCUCCAAGCUAC